Molecule: ribosomal RNA, 408 nt
Filed under: uncultured bacterium
Lineage: Bacteria
Description: partial 16S ribosomal RNA
Rfam family: Bacterial small subunit ribosomal RNA
Source: RNAcentral
GACGAACGCUGGCGGCGUGCUUAACACAUGCAAGUCGAACGAAGUGGCCAACGGUUGAGUAAUACGUGUGUAACCUUCCCUCCUUUUUGGCAUAACCCUUCGUAACGGCGUCUAAUUCCCAAUAAAGUUGGAUGCUCUCGCGGCCUAUGUUCUUGUUGGUGGGGUGAUGGCCUACCCAGGCGGUGACUGGUAGCCGGGCUGAGAGGGUGACCGGCCACAUUGGGACUGAGCUACGGGCCGGACUCAUACGGGAGGCAGCAGUGGGGAAUAUUGCACAAUGGGCGCAAGGCUGAUGCAGCAAUGCCGCGUGUAUGAAGAAGGCCUUCGGGUUGUAAAGUAAUUUAAGCGAGGAGGCGGUACUCGAAGAAGAAGGAACGGCUAACUCCGUGCCAGCAGACGCGGUAAUAG